Long non-coding RNA from Branchiostoma belcheri (Belcher's lancelet), 907 nucleotides. RefSeq lists it as uncharacterized. The transcript is spliced from 3 exons. NCBI's taxonomy places the organism in Eukaryota, Metazoa, Chordata, Leptocardii, Amphioxiformes, Branchiostomatidae. The record is from RefSeq and is a predicted model, not a curated record.
AAAUUUGAGUCGAUUGCGCUUGUGUGCGGUUAACCGAGGUGCAGUCAAAGGUCAACCAACCAAGGACGACGAGAAAUGCAGAUUUUGUAUUACUGUAUUCAUCUGUAAGUAAGCAGCUGGGGACGCAGUGCACUCGUAUUUGAUGUACAGGCGAGUUGUACAACUGGAUGGUUCUCCGUAAACCCAACCGAAGGAUCAGGGGGCUUCUGGACCUGUGGCCGGGGAAGCGGCGGCUAGGAGUGUACCGCUUCCUCCCGUUCUUCUUCGUGAUGGGGGCGGGGAUGGAGUGGUUCAUGAUCAACGUUCGGCUGGGCAGGGAAACCUUCUAUGACGUGUACAGAAGAAAGCAGGCAGAGCGACAAUACGAGGCUGCAGCCACAGAAAGAAACAAUGAUCAACAUCAAGGAUGAACUUACAAUAACAACUUUGCAAUCCUAGAAGAAAGCACUUUGCCAAACUGUAUAUCAUUCUAUACUGAAGGAGCAGCAUUUAUUAAAACUUCUGAUCUUGGUAUAAGGAUAUCUUAGCACAUCACAUGUGCAGACAAUAUCCUUCCACAGAAGCAAUUUCACAUGUGACACCGAGUUGACAAGAACAAUGCCAGCAGGUGUGCCGUGGGGGCCAUACCUGCGGUUUCUGACAGCCAGCAUGCUGUCCAUGUUUGCUGGUGCACAGGUCAUGCACAAACUGUACAACCCUGACCUGUCCAUCCCCGAGGUGCCGCCCAAACCCGGGGAACUGAAGACAGAAAUCCACCAGGUGUGGAAAAGACCAAGCUCGGACCCAGAGAGCAGCAGUUCAGGUGACAAGGCUGCGUAGUGUUCUGUUGACCUUCAAGGGAGUCUGAGACUGAAAUAUGUUUGCAAUAUUGAGAUUUAGUCAGACAUGGCCACAAUAAGGACUUCUU